CGUAGGGGGCAAGCGUUGUCCGGAUUUACUGGGCGUAAAGAGCGCGUAGGCGGAACGUUAAGCGGGGCCGGAAAGCCCCCGGCUCAACCGGGGAAGGGGCCGCGAACUGGCGUUCUUGAGGGGGAGAGGGGAGAGCGGAAUUCCUGGUGUAGCGGUGAAAUGCGUAGAGAUCAGGAGGAACACCCAUGGCGAAGGCAGCUCUCUGGCUUCACCCUGACGCUGAGGCGCGAAAGCGUGGGGAGCGAACGGGAUUAGAUACCCCGGUAGUCCACGCCGUAAACGAUGGUCACUAGGCGUUGGAGGUAUCGACCCCUCCAGUGCCGCAGCUAACGCACUAAGUGACCCGCCUGGGGAGUACGGCCGCAAGGUUG
RNAcentral lists this ribosomal RNA (371 nucleotides) under uncultured organism. Its description in RNAcentral is "bacterial SSU rRNA". It matches the Rfam family "Bacterial small subunit ribosomal RNA", at positions 526 to 896 of the family's 1533-position model. The record is from RNAcentral.